UACGUAGGUGGCUAGCGUUGUCCGGAUUUACUGGGCGUAAAGCGCGCGCAGGCGGUCGUUCAAGUCGAGUGUGAAAGCCCCCGGCUCAACUGGGGAGGGUCACUCGAUACUGAUCGACUUGAAGGCAGAAGAGGGAAGCGGAAUUCCCGGUGUAGUGGUGAAAUGCGUAGAUAUCGGGAGGAACACCAGUGGCGAAGGCGGCUUUCUGGUCUGUUCUUGACGCUGAGGAGCGAAAGCGUGGGUAGCAAACAGG
Molecule: ribosomal RNA, 253 nt
Filed under: uncultured bacterium
Lineage: Bacteria
Description: partial 16S ribosomal RNA
Rfam family: Bacterial small subunit ribosomal RNA
Source: RNAcentral